RNAcentral lists this ribosomal RNA (567 nucleotides) under Ophiocordyceps sinensis. RNAcentral's name for it is "SSU rRNA". It matches the Rfam family "Eukaryotic small subunit ribosomal RNA", at positions 579 to 1153 of the family's 1831-position model. Lineage: Eukaryota; Fungi; Ascomycota; Sordariomycetes; Hypocreales; Ophiocordycipitaceae. The record is from RNAcentral.
GUAAUUCAGCUCCAAUAGCGUAUAUUAAAGUUGUUGUGGUUAAAAAGCUCGUAGUUGAACCUUGGGCCUGGCUGGCCGGUCCGCCUCACCGCGUGUACUGGUCCGGCCGGGCCUUUCCCUCUGUGGAACCCCAUGCCCUUCACUGGGCGUGGCGGGGAAACAGGACUUUUACUUUGAAAAAAUUAGAGUGCUCCAGGCAGGCCUAUGCUCGAAUACAUUAGCAUGGAAUAAUGAAAUAGGACGCGCGGUUCUAUUUUGUUGGUUUCUAGGACCGCCGUAAUGAUUAAUAGGGACAGUCGGGGGCAUCAGUAUUCAAUGGUCAGAGGUGAAAUUCUUGGAUCCAUUGAAGACUAACUACUGCGAAAGCAUUUGUCAAGGAUGUUUUCAUUAAUCAGGAACGAAAGUUAGGGGAUCGAAGACGAUCAGAUACCGUCGUAGUCUUAACCAUAAACUAUGCCGACUAGGGAUCGGACGAUGUUAUUUUUUGACUCGUUCGGCACCUUACGAGAAAUCAAAGUGCUUGGGCUCCAGGGGGAGUAUGGUCCGCAGGCUGAAACUUAAAGGAAU